RNAcentral lists this ribosomal RNA (440 nucleotides) under uncultured bacterium. RNAcentral describes it as "partial 16S ribosomal RNA". It matches the Rfam family "Bacterial small subunit ribosomal RNA", at positions 338 to 795 of the family's 1533-position model. The record is from RNAcentral.
CCUACGGGAGGCAGCAGUGGGGAAUAUUGCACAAUGGGGGAAACUCUGAUGCAGCGACGCCGCGUGAGUGAAGACGUAUUUCGGUAUGUAAAGCUCUAUUAGCAGGGAAGAAAAUGACGGUACCUGAUUAAGAAGCCACGGCUAACUACGUGCCAGCAGCCGCGGUAAUACGUCGGGGGCAGGCGUUAUCCGGAUUUACUGGGUGUAAAGGGAGUGUAGACGGCAGCACAAGUCUGGAGUGAAAUGCCGGGGCUUAACCCCGGAACUGCUUUGGAAACUGUGUAGCUAGAGUGCAGGAGAGGUAAGUGGAAUUCCUAGUGUAGCGGUGAAAUGCGUAGAGAUUAGGAGGAACACCAGUGGCGAAGGCGGCUUACUGGACUGUAACUGACGUUGAGGCUCGAAAGCGUGGGGAGCAAACAGGAUUAGAUACCCCUGUAGUC